RNAcentral lists this transfer RNA (69 nucleotides) under Forcipiger flavissimus. RNAcentral's name for it is "tRNA-Glu". It matches the Rfam family "tRNA". From Rfam's summary of the family: Transfer RNA (tRNA) molecules are approximately 80 nucleotides in length. Their secondary structure includes four short double-helical elements and three loops (D, anti-codon, and T loops). Further hydrogen bonds mediate the characteristic L-shaped molecular structure. tRNAs have two regions of fundamental functional importance: the anti-codon, which is responsible for specific mRNA codon recognition, and the 3' end, to which the tRNAs corresponding amino acid is attached (by aminoacyl-tRNA synthetases). tRNAs cope with the degeneracy of the genetic code in two manners: having more than one tRNA (with a specific anti-codon) for a particular amino acid; and 'wobble' base-pairing, i.e. permitting non-standard base-pairing at the 3rd anti-codon position. Lineage: Eukaryota; Metazoa; Chordata; Actinopteri; Chaetodontiformes; Chaetodontidae. The record is from RNAcentral.
GUUCUUGUAGUUGAAUAACAACGGUGGUUUUUCAAGCCACAGGUCCUGGUUAAAUUCCUGGCAGGAACU